UGGAUGUGGCAGUAUUUGACAGAUCCUAGU
This 30-nucleotide non-coding RNA is filed under the name Mus musculus (house mouse). Lineage: Eukaryota; Metazoa; Chordata; Mammalia; Rodentia; Muridae. The record is from RNAcentral.